Molecule: ribosomal RNA, 20 nt
Filed under: Wurfbainia villosa
Lineage: Eukaryota; Viridiplantae; Streptophyta; Magnoliopsida; Zingiberales; Zingiberaceae
Description: partial 26S ribosomal RNA
Source: RNAcentral
GUGGCCCAAGUCAGCGAGGC